This 402-nucleotide ribosomal RNA is filed under the name bacterium. Its description in RNAcentral is "partial 16S ribosomal RNA". It matches the Rfam family "Bacterial small subunit ribosomal RNA", at positions 355 to 776 of the family's 1533-position model. The record is from RNAcentral.
UGGGGAAUUUUGCACAAUGGGGGAAACCCUGAUGCAGCGACGCCGCGUGAUUUAGAAGGCCUUCGGGUUGUAAAAAUCUUUUCUAUGGGAAGAAAAUGACAGUACCAUAGGAAUAAGGACCGGCUAAUUACGUGCCAGCAGCCGCGGUAAUACGUAAGGUCCGAGCGUUGUCCGGAAUCAUUGGGCGUAAAGGGUACGUAGGCGGGUAAGCAAGUUAGAAGUGAAAUCCUAUAGCUCAACUAUAGUAAGCUUUUAAAACUGCUCAUCUUGAGGUAUGGAAGGGAAAGUGGAAUUCCUAGUGUAGCGGUGAAAUGCGCAGAUAUUAGGAGGAAUACCGGUGGCAACGGCGACUUUCUGGCCAUAACCUGACGCUGAGGUACGAAAGCGUGGGUAGCAAACAGG